Acidobacteria bacterium 13_2_20CM_56_17 is the source of this 147-nucleotide non-coding RNA. NCBI's taxonomy places the organism in Bacteria, Pseudomonadati, Acidobacteriota. The record is from Rfam.
CCGUGCGUCCCAUCACACGUAGCCUACGAGGCAGAGCGGGGAGGCAACGAACCGUUCGAAGCCCUCGGACGAUGUACCCACAAGUGCAAACUUGGCACCAGAACCGCGAGGAGACGGUGUAUCUGCCAGCAUAAGGCGGAGACGGGC